GAUGAAGAACGUAGUGAAAUGCGAUAAGUAAUGUGAAUUGCAGAAUUCAGUGAAUCAUCGAAUCUUUGAACGCACCUUGCGCCCUUUGGCCAUUCCGAAGGGCAUGCCUGUUUGAGUAUCAUGAACACCUCAACUCUCAUGGCUUGCCAUGAUGAGCUUGGACUUUGGGGGUCUUGCUGGCCUGCGGCCAGCUCCUCUCAAAUGAAUUAGCUUUCCAGUGUUUGGUUGGCAUCACAGGUGUGAUAACUAUCUACGCUUGUGGUUUCCACCAGGUAACCUUCAGUAACAUGGGGGUUUGCUGGAGCUCAUAAAUGUCUCUCCUCAGUGGGGACAGCUCUUUGAACGUUUGAUCUCAAAUCAGGUAGGACUACCCGCUGAACUUAAGCAUAUCAAUAAGCGGAGGA
Molecule: unclassified non-coding RNA, 404 nt
Filed under: soil metagenome
Description: partial contains 5.8S ribosomal RNA, internal transcribed spacer 2, and large subunit ribosomal RNA
Rfam family: 5.8S ribosomal RNA (bases 1-121)
Source: RNAcentral